Cyprinus carpio carpio is the source of this 2593-nucleotide long non-coding RNA. Lineage: Eukaryota; Metazoa; Chordata; Actinopteri; Cypriniformes; Cyprinidae. The record is from Ensembl.
AGAAAAUAUAAUCACAUUUGUGAUCAUGCGACGAACAACUGUAUAAGUCCAAAAAAAACAAAAAAAUUAGAUAACCAUGUGACUUCAAUGUAUGUGUGCCACUUUGUAUACAGAAUCACUUUGGGGGGUGUUCGCGCGACCAAAACUCUAACAUUUUAAAAUAGUCUCACGCGGAAAAACCGUUUAUGUCCACUAACAAAAAAUGGAGACGCCGGUUGCUUUCAUGUCCGCUGCGGACAUUAAUAGACAAAACGUCGGCAAAAAAAGGAGAGCGAACAUAAAUGAAUGGAAGGACAGAGCAAGGAAGUCUUUGAGGGAUGCUGGGAAACCAUAUGUGAACCGGAGAGGAGAGCAAAAACGAGGAAAAAGUCCACCAAAAGCGGGAAAGGCGUGCAAGGAGACAUGUCCCAGGCAGUGUUCAAGCCUAACAGACCAAAGAAAACUCCAGCUCUUCACAGAGUUUUAUGCUGUCUCUUACGAGAGGCAGCAGGCUAUCAUUCUCUCUGGUUUGGAGCAGCACAAGGUGAGUUGCAGACCACGUGGGCCCGACACUGAGAAUACUAAGAGGAAGUACACCUUCAAGUACCAUGUGCAACAAGGAGGCCAAAGACUUGCUGUUUGUAAGCUCACAUUUAUGUCAGUCUUUCAACUGACCAACAGUCGCCUACAGGUUAUUCAAGAAAAGUUAGGCAGUCAGUCUGAGGGAACAGAGCAGGUAGUGAGGUCUCCAUUAGAGGACUUCAGAGGAAAACAUAAGAACAGGCCUCAUAGCAUUCAUCCUGCAGUGAGAGAGGGGAUAAGAGAGCACAUCCUGAGCUUCCCACGCCAACCGAACCACUACUCACGGAUGAAGGGAGAUGUGGAGAGGGAGUACCUGAGCCCUGAUUUAAACCUGCUCCGCAUGUUCCGCCUGUACAAGGAAAACAAUCCAGCAUCCACUGCAAAGUUCUGGCUCUAUAGGGACAUCUUCAAGCAGCAAAACCUCAGAUUUGGGCAGCCAAGAAGUGAUACUUGUGCAAAAUGUGACGCCCUGUUCUCAAAAUUAGUAGCUGCUACAACAGAUGGAGAAAGGUUGAAGAUCACAGCCGAGAGUGAGCUUCACCACCGGAAAGCCGAAAAAGCGUACACCCAGUUGCAGGCUGACACAGAGUGGGCCAAAGCCAAUGAUGACUGCCAUGUCAUUUGUAUCGACAUGCAGUGGGUAGUGUUCACGCCAAACCUGACACACUCCAACGUGUACUAUCAACGGCAGCUGGCCAACUACAACCUCUGUAUCCAGGAGAUGGGCACUGACAAACCUCCUACAAUGUGCCUCUGGCAUGAGGGCAUCGCUCACAGAGGUUCCAUCGAGGUGGCAAGCUGUCUUUUGAAGUGGGCAGAAACAUCUUUCGCUCCCCUAGUCCAGGCAAAGGAACGGAAGCUCAUCAUCUAUAGUGACCGAUGCUGUGGGCAGAACAACAACUGGCGAGUCCUAAACCUCAUGGCCCUACUCGUAUCUAGAGGGUACUUCAGUCAGAUAGAGCAGAAGUUCAUGGUGUCUGGUCACUCCUUCCUUCCCUGUAACCGUUCAUUUGCCACGCUGGACAAGAGGCAUAAGGUGUCCACACUCCACACCCCCAGCGAUGUCGCCGAGAUGAUCCGUGGAACCAGGCAGCUGCAUCCAUUUAAAGUAAUUGAGAUGAAAUGUACGGACUUCAGGCAGCUCCCUGAUGCAACAUUAAAACAUCCACCUGGCUUCUUAAUCACAUCCAUGAUGUGGUUGAAAGUGACAGCUACUGAUCCAUGGUGUGUCCACACAAAAGGGAGCCACAGCCUCUACGAGGGAUGGAAGCAUUGGCUGAUCACCAAACAGAGGAAGAAUCAACCACCUCCAGCUCCCUUGUUCUCCACCACGUAUGCUCGUGCUUACGAGGACCCUCUGCCCAUCAAGAAGGAGAAGCACCGUGACCUUAUGAAAAUGCUAGCCUACAUGCCAGCGGAGGCCCAAGCAUUUUAUGUGAAUGUGAAGAGUAGCCUGGUAUGUGUAGGUCAUGUGCAGGGAAAGGUGGGAUAUAUUGUGUAUAUUGUGUGAAAUUAAUCAUAAAAGUAGUUGUAGCUUAUCUUGUAUGCCUUAUCGUAUGUUGUAUAAUAGGAAUAUAUAGGUAUUUAUUUUAUUUUAUUUAGAACCAAAAAAAGGAAGACGUAUAUGGUAAACUAGCAUAUGGAACCAGCAUGGAAUGAAGAUGAUGUAUGUCUGUAUUGUAAAUAUGUAUUGUUUACCAUUAUUACUGUUGAUUGUUUGUAUGUAUUGUUUAUUGUAAGUAUGUACGGUUUGUUUGUACUGACAUUUAUUUUCUGUACUAUAAGUAGGCCUAUGUAUUGUUCAUUGUUCGUACCGUAUUGUCCGCGUUUUUGUUCUGUGAUUUACGUUGGCAAAAAAUAAAAGAAAUUGAAAGAAAGAAAUGCUUAAUAUUUUCUUUAAGGUUCUGUUACUGUAUUAAAACUAAGAUAAAGGAAUCAAAUCUCCAGUGGUUUAAAUUGAUUUGAUUAAUUGGACUUAUACUGUUAUUCCACAUUAACUGGACAUAUACUGUUCUUCCACAUUCCAGAAAUG